GUACUCCGGGGAUAACAGGCUGAUACCGCCCAAGAGUUCAUAUCGACGGCGGUGUUUGGCACCUCGAUGUCGGCUCAUCACAUCCUGGGGCUGAAGUAGGUCCCAAGGGUAUGGCUGUUCGCCAUUUAAAGUGGUACGCGAGCUGGGUUUAGAACGUCGUGAGACAGUUCGGUCCCUAUCUGCCGUGGGCGCUGGAGAACUGAGGGGGGCUGCUCCUAGUACGAGAGGACCGGAGUGGACGCAUCACUGGUGUUCGGGUUGUCAUGCCAAUGGCACUGCCCGGUAGCUAAAUGCGGAAGAGAUAAGUGCUGAAAGCAUCUAAGCACGAAACUUGCCCCGAGAUGAGUUCUCCCUGACCCUUUAAGGGUC
Molecule: ribosomal RNA, 369 nt
Filed under: Escherichia coli
Lineage: Bacteria; Pseudomonadati; Pseudomonadota; Gammaproteobacteria; Enterobacterales; Enterobacteriaceae
Also listed under: 1 other name
Description: partial 23S ribosomal RNA
Rfam family: Bacterial large subunit ribosomal RNA
Source: RNAcentral